Molecule: long non-coding RNA, 1096 nt
Organism: Rhineura floridana
Lineage: Eukaryota; Metazoa; Chordata; Lepidosauria; Squamata; Rhineuridae
Exons: 2
Source: RefSeq, a predicted model, not a curated record
UGUAACCGUUACUGGUAAAGUCAGGCAGCAUUACCAUUCCCUGUACUGCAGAUGGGUAGACUGAGGCCGAGAGAGAGUGGCUUGCCUUAGUGAGGCCAAGCUUGUAGAGGCAAGACUCGAACCAGGCGCUCCCCAAUUCAUAGCUCAGCCUCUUAGCCCGCGGCGGCUAAACUAGCAUAUUAUUUUCUGAACGGAAUAGGGUUUUCAGUUAGAUGUUUGGUUGCAUUUGGAGAAGAGAACCCUCCACUAGCCAAAGUGAACAGCAAAGGGUCUAAAUUGAGGACCGGAAACCAAGAGCAGUUAAGAAAGGCGGCGUGAAGUAGAAACAGAAAGCUGCACACGAGGUGGGGCCGCCGUAGGAGGAAACUAGUAAGAGGACAAACUCUAAAAUCGAGAAUAUAGGAGAGAAAACGGGGGAGGGGGAAGACACAAUUUAAAAAUUACAGCAGGAAGGGAAGGAAAAAGGAGAGCUUCACAUGUGAACAGAAAGAUUGGAGAUGGUUUGGCUGCAAGAGCAGAGAGGCGGCGAGGAAGGGACCACCGUGAUGGAGAGCAAAGCGCCUGCGCCGUGGAGACUCUCCCAGCCGAACCAACGCGGCGGCCGAGCAGGAAACGACCGAGAGAGGCUGCUUGACCCUCGCUGACUUCUGCUGCUACUAUCCAACUGCAGGCGCUAGAGCUGUGGCGGCAAGGAGCGGGAGCCCGCCCUCUAGCGCUGGAGGACCGGGGGUGUUAGGAGGCCUUGACUGGGUGCGAGGAGCGACCUGCAUUCAUGUUCCUCAUGUAGUCUCGGUCGCUAAAGGCAGCGCUUAUUGUGUAGUCCCAGUGUUGUCGGUGAGAAAGAAGGUAUUUCUGUGAGCAUGUGCAAAGUGCAGUUUUCGCUGGGGAAAAGUCCUCUCCCAGACGUUGUGUUCCGCCACAAUGGCUAUGAACUCAUGGCCGCUCAGCAGGUCUCCCACUCCCUCUGUAUUUUCCUCCCACUCAUUUUUAAUAGUUUGAUUCAUUUCCCAUUUUUCUGAUAUUACAAUCUGUAUGUUAUUAAAUUGUUAAAAGGCAAAGUCUAUAAAAUAAAGAGUUGUUCUCCUGAGAUGACCAA